AUAGGGCAAUGUACCUUCAAGUGUGGUUUUGAUGUGAGAUUCCUCUUGGUUGUGUCAAUGAGAAAUGUUAGAAUGAGUUUGGAUUAAGAUUAAUAAGCAAAAUUGAAAAGCUUACAAGUCUUUUUGUUGAGUGGAUGUCCUUCAUUUCCGUAGUCUAUCCGCAACCAUAAAUAUCACUCCAUUAUUUUUUUUACAUCUGUAAUUAUCAGUUCCUUGUAAUAAGCAACCAUAUAUACUUGAUAGAAGUAUUCAUCUUUGACUGAGUGUGUAAAUUGAGUGUGGAAAUUGAAGUAAGAUUUGAAAGUUUGAUUGUGGGUUAAAUUGGAUUCAGAAAAGGAGUCUGUUGUGGCCUUGUGGGUACAAGGAUAUUCUUAACAUGAUUCUUUUUGCAUUUUUAUUUACUUUUAUUGUUUAUACUUGUUUGCUUUUACCUUUUCUUUUGGUUUAUUUUAUAUUUGGAUAAUGAUCUCGUGACUAUUUAUGAUGGAGUUGUGCGGUGCCUAACAACUUCUUGACAAACAACCAACUCUCAAGCCAUAAUUUCUGGUUUGCUAGCUUGCCUUAUCUUUAUUCUUUUGUGUUUUCCUGCUGUUGCCUGAAUCAAAAUGAGCACUUCUUGUAAAACAUUUUUAAUUACUUUUUGAAAAAAGUUAGCUUUUGGUCUUUUCUAUGCAUGCACCAUUUUUUUUGAAGAGAUUGUGUUUUAAUAGCUCUAAUGUUGUGUUUUUGGGUUUUGCUAUUGAGUAUUGGUUUCUUCAUAAAGAUGUUUCUUGGGUAAUAUUGUUUGUGUUUUUGGGGCCUAACAUUAAUGCCCAACAUUUAAGAGUGUUUUCUUCAGAAUAUUUUGCACAUAGUAUAGAAGAGAUUGUAUUUUAGCGUUCAUUUCUCUUUUUGAAGCCGAUGCUGUUAUGUUCUGUUUGCCUUCUUCUUUGGGAUAUUUACCUGUGAAUUGAUAUAUUUUUGGUUCAAGUCAGAUCCAAUUUCUUAAGAUAUGUGGCUAAUGAAGAUCUUUUUUUGUCGUUUUCUCAUGUUCUUAUGCUAGCCAGAAAUAAUAUCAUAGUUAGACUUUCAGUCUACUGUCUUUUCUUAGACAAGGUCUUUGUUGUAUAUGUUUGUUUAGAAGCUCAGAGGGUAAUUAUGUAUAUUGCAAGACAACUUUGAUAAUGACAUGCUGAAAGAACUUUAUUUAUUUAUUUCAGGGUUUUCUGAAAAAAAUGAUUUA
RNAcentral lists this unclassified non-coding RNA (1222 nucleotides) under Hevea brasiliensis (rubber tree). The record is from RNAcentral. Lineage: Eukaryota; Viridiplantae; Streptophyta; Magnoliopsida; Malpighiales; Euphorbiaceae.